UGGAAACCCGUGUGGCAUCCAGCGAGCAAAGCAGGGACAACGGCUGAGCCCGCACCGCGUCUCCGUCCAGCGAGAGGCCGAGGUUGUUCCUGCUGCCCGAGGAAGGCGGCGAGCGGCCCUGCUGUCCGCUCCGAGAGCCCCCGCCCGGCGCCCUUGGGGGCCUGCCUUCGACCGUCAGGGUGGCUCUGGCACCGCAGCUCAGCGCUCUCCAGGCCAUCAGAAACGCCCUCGGCUGAGGUCUGAGGGAUCUGGAGGCACAGAUUGUAAGGACAGAGCAAGGAGGGGGCUAACGGGACCGAGAGCUGCCAGUCAGAGAGGAGCUCUUGCCUCCCUCCAGAAGGGCUCGCGGGAGCUGCUGGAGCUCCGUCACGAGCCACCGUCGUUUGGAAAAGCAAAGCUCACUGAUGUUCAGGGCCUGACACUUCUUAGCGUGACCCAGUCCUCCCUGAAAACUAGAGGAGGCGGAGACGGGCGCCUCCUGUGUCCUUGCCCAGCUUGCCUGAUGGCGCUCUCUCUCUCUCUCUCUCUCUCUCUCUCUCUCUCUCUCACACACACACACACACACACACACACACACACACACACAGCCACGACUAAAGCAAAGUGACAUGCAGCCUUCCUGAAGCAAAAGGCUCGCUGGCCUGGAAGGAAUCGCAGACACCGAGGCCCCAAUCUGUUAGAUUCGGUUUCAUCUCGGAUCCUUCCGGGGCCUGGUGGCGCACACCCGUGAUCCCAGCACUCUUCGAAGCUGAGGGAGGAGGAUCUCAGGUUUGAGCCACAAGCCGGGCAAUUUAGUGACUUAGCAAGAUGCUGUCUCAAAAUGAAAAAGGGCUGGAGGCGUAGCUCAGUGCGAAGGCCCUGAGUUCAAGCCACAUUACCCUCCCCCUAAAAAAAUUCUUCCAGGGUUUUAUAUUCAGCUUACAAAUCUUAUUUUUUUUCUACCUAUAAGUAGAGCAAAUUGCAGCUAUCUCUUUUUAGUCCCUUUCAAAGAAACAUUAGCCAAUACUUGGUUACAUUUGUAACCUUAGGAAAUUAAGUCUUCAAAUAGUUUAAAGUGUGUGUGUGUGUGUGUGUGUGUGUGUGUGUGUGUCUGUGGUGUGUGUGGUGCUGGGAAUCUAACCCAGGGCCUCAGGCUCACCACACAAGGAAGUGCUGUACCACUGAGCUACACCCCCAAACUUCACUUUUGUUUUAAGGGCAUCAAUUAUCUGAUCAACAAAGCAUUUAACCUAAUAAAUUAUGCCUCUAAAUACAAUGGACAUGAAUAUCCACUUGGCUGUAUCUCGAUAGUAUGGCCAUGAUACAUUUUAAAUUAGAAAAACAUGAAUCUCAUUUUAAUAGAUCAAGUUUUGUUAAAUAUUACCAGUAUGCAGGAAUACCAAACAUGGCCUGCUCAACACAAAAAUAUUAAUGUGAUGGCUUUAAUUAUUUUAAACCUUUGUGUAUGUCAUCUAAGAUGUCCCACAGACUAAAGGUAUUUACCCAGGGAAGGGGCUGACCAGAAGCCUUGCUUACUGUAAUCAUCUGGUCCAGAACUGUUUGGUUGGGCAGAAGUUCUGAAGAGGAGGGCUUCCUGGGUGCUGCCUCUUACAACAACUGAGCAAAGUAUUAUAUCAUCCAAGGAAGCCUGGGAUCGUCCACUCAGCGUCCCCGAGUCACGGGCUGCCAGAGGUCUGGGUGGUUUGGCGGUGGCAAGCUGAAUGGACUCCUAGUGGCCACGUAACUUGGACAGGGAUGGAGUCACAUCUCCAGGCUUGAGCUGACAGUGGUCUGAAUCGCACUGCCACUUGAUUUCCCGAUCGGACCCCUUCUUUGGCCCCUAGGACCUGUAAAUGUCUCUACCACUGUAAGUCACAGGUUUUGCAUCCAACAGAAUCCAAAGAUACAUGCUCAUAUCUAAGCUACUUGAGCCUUUGUGGAAUCCUACCUUCUUUGGCUACUGAAGGUUGGGCACCUCUCGUGACUUUAACUUAUAGUCCCAAGGUAUCGAGUCAGUCUACACACACCCCUCUCUGAGCCCCUAUCCUCAGUGUCAUGGAGUUGCUGAGAACUGUGAGAAAAUGUGCAUGAAAUCACUCGUGAACCACGAAGGACUACACAAACAUUAGUGCCUUGCAUGGAGGGAAGCGUGGAAGAGGUAUUUAGUGAUAGAGAUAGAUAGGUAGGUAGAUAAAUGAUCGAUAGAUAAUAGACAGGAGAGAGAAGAAAGAGAGGAUGUUGGUUUUCGUGAACCCAGAGAAUGUGGCAAUGAAGGAUCACUUCUGGCAAGGCACUGAAGCAAAUCGCACCGCCGACUGGACUGCGAUCCACCCUGACCAAUGGGCAGGACCCUUGCAGGCCCCAUGGAGAGCUGUGCAGAAGCCACUCAGCAUGCAGCUGCCCGGGCUUGGCGGGGCAGGCAGGAGCCUUCCGCCCUCCCGGCCCCUUGCACGCUCCUCCUGCCUGCCCUCCCGCACAGUUCUGCCCACCUGUCCUUACUGCUUAGCCUUGGCUCUGCCUUUAGAAAACCCUAAUGGGUGCGGAGGGGAGCCAAGUGCUGGCUUCUGACGGGGUGACACCCUUGUCCAAACUGUGGCCCCGAACCUGUCCCACAUGAGGUGUCCGUGAUCUCAGAGGCAAGGACCUUUUCGGGAGAUCAACCUGGAGCCUCCACCCACAAGUUAGGAGGCCCGGAGCACUCAGCCUCCAGCGCUGCUGGUUCCAGGACCCAGCUCCCCUCCAUUGCUUCAGCCUCGAAGCAAAUUACAAUAUGAAUAUACACCAGAAGAGUUUUUAAAACGAAGAUAACACACAAAGAAAAAAGCCUCACUUGGAAAGCUUUUGGGUUCUAUCACCAGAACCCACGGCCAAAUGACCUCCCUGGAUCACAAGGUCCCCGGCUCUAAGGGCGAGACUGUAUGUCACGCAGCCAGUCACUCCACAGCAAGUCUGCAUCCAUCUCCACUGCAGGCUAUGCUCCUCCAGUCCUGCAGUGUGGCGUCCACGCCCGGCACAGAGGUCAUGGCCAGGGCUUCAUGGGGCCCGGGAGGAAGACUGCAGGCUCGCCUUUAGGGUGACCUGUCCGGGGGCUGCUGUCAUGCUGGGGACGCUGAGUUACUCACCAGGAAGUCACCUCUGCGGGACUCAGACUGCUCAGGGAGGGCCUGGGCCUGGCCUCCGAUGGCAGCUGCCCCGAGCACACUUCCGGGAAGCCACUCCUGGGACAUCCUUACUUCCUGCUCUCUGCCCAGAGUCUGGAAGGAAGAUGAGGCCUCCUCGGUGGCAGCAUCCAGCUGUGCCUCCCUCUUUCCUGGCCUUCAGCCUGCCUCACCCCUUCCACAGACUCUUCCCUCCUCCGGCCUGGGGUCUUGGUUCCCAGAGCGGGAAGGACCCGGCCCUGCCCACCAGCCUCCUGGCUCCACACCCAUCGCUGGGUCUUCCGCAGAUUGUCUUCAUCCCCUGGCACAAUUGGAGUUCCAGAGAGAGCAAACCGUCUGGGGAGCACUGCGUGGAGCCCCGGACUUCAGGCCCCGGCAAAGGGGAGUGCUCAAUGACCUGAGUCUAUCCUUGUUCGUGGCAGAGUAGUGCUCCACUGCAUCUAAGCACUACAUCCUCUUUAUGCAUUCAUCUGUCGGUGGACACCUAUACGGCAGGAAGAGAGAUCUUUCGCAAAUGAGGAGAGAACCAAGAGAUGAAGAAGAGGGGAGGGGAGAGAGGAGGGGCGGAAGGUGUGUGAUGCACACGGGCCAGCACCCCACAGUGAACGCAACCACGCACUCAAACAUGGACUGAAAAAAUAAAAGUUUGAAAUGAGCCACAAAGACUCCCGACCCGACCCGCGGGCCGUGUGACCGUCAGUGCGUGUUGCAAUUGGCCCUGAGUCUGGGGCCGACGUGCAGCUGUCCCUCACAGAUGUACUCCCCCCCCCCACAUCACUCCAUCCUGCCUGCCAGGGACCAGCCUCUGGGUGACACAGCCGGCAUCAGGGAGGAGGUGUCAGCGGCGGCCGGAAGAAAGCUGAGAUCCUACUUCCCUCCAAAUGGGAGUGGGUGUUGCUAUCCAGGAGGUCUUUAGCUGCUCCCGAAGUAUCGCAGGUGAUGAUGGGCCAGAAGAGAACAUUUUUUAACCCUCAGGGUAGGUCUGACAUAAGGCAGGGGGGCAGACUACACGGUCCUCGUGUUAAAGUUUUUAGUUUGCUUGGAAAUAACCACCCAGCACGAUCUCCUGAGCACUCACUCCAAGCAGAGUGUUGGUCCAGCCCGGGGCUUGGUCAUCCCUGAGCCAGGGCCGGUGCUUCAGGGGACAGCCACCAGCACCCUCCACAGAGAAGCUGAGACUCGGAGUCCCACGGCCGGCCAGCAGGGGGCAGGAGUCCACAGCAGGCGCCCCAGCUCCAGAUCCAGGUGCUUAAACACUGUGCCGUUCAUUUUGGUGAGCGAGGAGGAGGAGGAAAUGUUCCCCAUACUCCCAACACCUGGGAGCGACCACAAAUAAUUCUGAUGUUUUUCGUAACAACACAGAGCUCACACUACACACACAAAUGUGUGUCCUGCGCCUGUGUUUCUCAGUCGACACGCUAUGGGUGUCUUCUGCAAGCGCCGGAAGCAGGCAGGCCACCCUCAGGAUGUGCUUCGAGUCCCAGGUCCUCCCCUGCAGCAGACAACUGCAGGCGCUGUGCAGAGCGAUCCUGAGUCCAGCUGCCCAUCGGGGUGGGUACACAGGGCUCUUCCCGUGUUUGGGAUUUUUGAGUUGCAGUGGAUCCCACCUGGCGUUGUGGCCAGAACAGAGGGUGCAGAGCCCCCAGGAGGCUCGGAAGCCGGAGGGAGGGGACCCGCUGUCUGGAGCCAGGUGCCCCUCAGCGACAUCCCUCCUGAUCAGGCGCUUCACAAAGACAAGAGGACUACUUGCUUUCAGAAGGCUGGGAUUCUGUUGUCUUCAGUAGCGGAGCCUUCUUCCGGAAGCUGUAAAAUUUCAAACCUAAUGCCUGGUAAACUCCUCUAGUGCUUGCGUUUCUUAAACUGCCUCAAGGCUGUAGCCGCAGCCCUUUGCGUUUUUUAUUGUUUCUUUCGGAGCUGUGCGUUUGUGAGUCCUUGUGUGCAGUGUGUCAGGAUCACGCUCAUCCCAGGGAGUCGGUCCAUGCGUGGAACCCACCCUAAUCCCCUCUGCGUCCGCCCCCUCUCUCUGUCUCUCACUCCCCAUCCCUUUCCCAGAAGACCUGUCUCUCUGCGUCCCACUCUCUGGCUUGCAUUUUGCUCUGCUAAGCCGACCUCUCCUGGCCACCUGCCUCUUGGUUCUCACUGGGCUCCACCAUGCCCCCCAUUUCUCUAGAUCCUCAAAGGAACAAAAAAGUCCUUAAUCCCAUAAACACAAAACUAUACUUUUUUAGGAAAAAUAAUUGAAACGAAUUUUUUUCCACUGUGAUGGCUAAAUGACCCAGGAAGAGCAGGUGGCUUUCCGUCUUCUGCUGCUGAGCCUCAAGUCAGGGUGGCCGAGCUGGACGUUAGCUUGGGAAAGGCCAGGCCUGACCAUGGCACUGCCAGCAUGCACCAGACA
RNAcentral lists this long non-coding RNA (5532 nucleotides) under Heterocephalus glaber (naked mole-rat). RNAcentral describes it as "lncRNA (ENSHGLG00100041481.1)". Lineage: Eukaryota; Metazoa; Chordata; Mammalia; Rodentia; Bathyergidae. The record is from RNAcentral.